RNAcentral lists this ribosomal RNA (462 nucleotides) under Blastocystis sp. subtype 6. Its description in RNAcentral is "SSU rRNA". It matches the Rfam family "Eukaryotic small subunit ribosomal RNA", at positions 1 to 492 of the family's 1831-position model. The record is from RNAcentral. Lineage: Eukaryota; Bigyra; Opalinata; Blastocystidae.
UAUCUGGUUGAUCCUGCCAGUAGUCAUACGCUCGUCUCAAAGAUUAAGCCAUGCAUGUGUAAGUCUAAAUAGUUUUAGUGUGAAACUGCGAAUGGCUCAUUAUAUCAGUUAUAGUUUAUUUGGAUGAAUUUUUCUAUGGAUAACCGUAGUAAUUCUAGGGCUAAUACAUGUUGUAAUCUCUUUGAGAUUUUCUUAUUAGAAUAAAACCAAUUGUAUUAGUGAGUAAUAAUAAUAGAAUCGAUCGCAUGCUUUUGUAGCGAUAAUCCUUUCAAGUUUCUGCCCUAUCAGCUUUCGAUGGUAGUGUAUUGGACUACCAUGGCAGUAACGGGUAACGAAGAAUUUGGGUUCGAUUUCGGAGAGGGAGCCUGAGAGAUGGCUACCACAUCCAAGGAAGGCAGCAGGCGCGCAAAUUCCCCAAUCCUGACACAGGGAGGUAGUGACAAUAAAUCACAAUGCGGAACC